GCCAGUGUGGCAUUGUGGUUUGAGUGCCGGACCACAAUUCUGGAGAUCUGGGUUCAGUUCCCAGCUUGUCC
Non-coding RNA from Phrynosoma platyrhinos (Desert horned lizard), 71 nucleotides. NCBI's taxonomy places the organism in Eukaryota, Metazoa, Chordata, Lepidosauria, Squamata, Phrynosomatidae. The record is from the annotation of a GenBank genome assembly.